Molecule: ribosomal RNA, 1302 nt
Filed under: Cuneopsis heudei
Lineage: Eukaryota; Metazoa; Mollusca; Bivalvia; Unionida; Unionidae
Description: 16S ribosomal RNA
Rfam family: Bacterial large subunit ribosomal RNA
Source: RNAcentral
GCAAAAACAAACCUUAAACCUAUACAAACUAAAGAAAAUUCUCACAGCGCACAGUAUUUCAUAAAAAAUCUUCCUAUCCACUCAAAAACCCGCAAAGGGCCAAUUUUUUUAGCCUUUUUCAAGAAAUGGUAACACCAUGUCCCUUUGCAUCAUGGAGAAGCAACAAAACCAUAGCAAACUAAACCUCCCGAAUGACUAUGAGCUACUAACUCUUAAAAAUCAAUGUUUCAUAAUUGAUAAAAUAACCCUUAGUAGAAGUAACAAGCCUUUCAUAUAGUCACAUAGCUGGUUUUUCUUCAAAAGCAUCAAAGUGCUGCCUUAUAGCUAUAAACGCCAUAUCGCUAAUGCUAUAAAGGUUAGCUUACUGAGGAUAAGCUCAGUAAGAAUACAAAAAUAUUCUACCAUCUCAACUUUCCAAGUAGGCUUAAAAGCAGCCACCUUAUGACGUUCUAGUUAUAACACCCAAAUACCCAAUAUUUAUAUACACUAUUUUAACUUUAAAGAAAUUUAUCGUAAAACAUCACACGACAGUAAACAGGCAUUCUAUUAGUAUUAAUACAAUCCACUCCUCACAACCCUAAAAGAACUUGAAACAACAACACUUUUACUUAAAAAAUCUAUACAAAGCGAACUCGGCAAAUAAAUUCCCUGCCUGUUUACCAAAAACAUCGUCUUUUGAACCACUCCUGAUAAAAGAUAAUGCCUGCCCAGUGAAAUUUUAAACGGCCGCGUUAGCGUGAGCGUGCUAAGGUAGCGUAAUAAUUAGCCUUUUAAUUGGAGGCCAGUGAAUGGCAAGACUAGGAAUAGCUGUACUUUGUAUACAAAAAGAAUUUUUCGUCUAAGUGAAAAGACUUAGAUAACAAAGGAAGACGAAAAGACCCCGCGGAACUUUACCUCUUCUCAUACUUCUGCCUAUCCGCUCGAAAGUAUACGAGGUUUGAUUGGGGCAAUCUUGGAACCAGUAAAACUUCCAAUUUUUUUAAAAAACAUCCAAAAUUUACUAAGGACCAAAAAGUAGUUACCCCGGGGAUAACAGCGUAAUCCAACUCAAGAGUACACAUCGAAAGUUGGGUUUGCGACCUCGAUGUUGGCUUAAGGAUAUCCACAUAAGUGCAACCGCUAUGAUAGGAUAGUCUGUUCGACUAUUAUACCCUUACGUGAUCUGAGUUCAGACCGGCGCAAGCUAGGUUGGUUUCUAUCUCCUUCAUUUAAAACCUUUUCUUGAUUGUACGAAAGGACCCCAAGAAAUGCAUCUCACGAAAGCACCACUAAACACCCAUUGAAUUUGAUCUUAACCACUAA